UGAGUACGAGAUGCUACGGCAUCGAAGCAGUCUAUGUCAUACUUCCAAGAAAAGCUUGCACUGUCAUAAACAAAGAAUGCCUGUACCAUAACCGACACAGGUGGGUAGGUAGAGUAUACUAAGGGGCGCGAGAUAACUCUCUCUAAGGAACUCGGCAAAAUGACUCCGUAACUUCGGGAGAAGGAGUGCCUUAUUUCUAAGGUUGCAAUAACAAGAUCCAAGCAACUGUUUACCAAAAACACAGGUCUCCGCUAAGUCGUAAGACGAUGUAUGGGGGCUGACGCCUGCCCAGUGCCAGAAGGUUAAAGAAGUUGGUUAGCAUUAGCGAAGCUGAUAACUGAAGCCCUGGUGAACGGCGGCCGUAACGAUAACGGUCCUAAGGUAGCGAAAUUCCUUGUCGGGUAAGUUCCGACCCGCACGAAAGGCGUAAUGAUUUGGAUACUGUCUCGGAGAGGGGCUCGGUGAAAUAGACUUGUCUGUGAAGAUGCGGACUACCUGCACCGGGACAGAAAGACCCUAUGAAGCUUUACUGUAACUUGAGAUUGAAAUUGGACUUUAUUUGCGCAGUAUAGGUGGGAGGCGUUGAGAAUAAUCUUGCGGGAUUGUUGGAGCCAUCAGUGAGAUACCACUCUUGUAAUGUUAGAUUUCUAACUUUGUAUCAUUAUCUGGUCAAAGAACAGUUUCAGGCGGGCAGUUUGACUGGGGCGGUCGCCUCCCAAAGGGUAACGGAGGCGCACAAAGGUUUCCUCUGAACGGGUAGAAAUCGUAUCUAGAGUGUAAAGGCAUAAGGAAGCUUGACUGUGAGACCUACAAGUCGAGCAGGGACGAAAGUCGGUCUUAGUGAUCUGACGGUGCUGAGUGGAAAGGCCGUCACUCAACGGAUAAAAGUUACUCUAGGAUAACAGGCUGAUCUCCCCCAAGAGUUCACAUCGACGGGGAGGUUUGGCACCUCGAUGUCGGCUCAUCGCAUCCUGGGGCGGUAGUCCGUCCCAAGGGUUGGGCUGUUCGCCCAUGAAAGCGGUACGCGAGCUGGGUUCAGAACGUCGUGAGACAGUUCGGUCCAUAUCCGGUGUAGGCGUUAGAAUAUUGAGAGGAGCCUUCUCUAGUACGAGAGGACCGAGAAGGACAUACCUCUGGUGUACCAGUUAUCGUGCCAACGGUAAACGCUGGGUAGCCAUGUAUGGAGUGGAUAACCGCUGAAAGCAUCUAAGUGGGAAGCCCACCUCAAGAUAAG
Molecule: ribosomal RNA, 1234 nt
Filed under: metagenome
Description: bacterial LSU rRNA
Rfam family: Bacterial large subunit ribosomal RNA
Source: RNAcentral